This 253-nucleotide ribosomal RNA is filed under the name uncultured bacterium. Its description in RNAcentral is "partial 16S ribosomal RNA". It matches the Rfam family "Bacterial small subunit ribosomal RNA", at positions 524 to 776 of the family's 1533-position model. The record is from RNAcentral.
UACGUAGGGUGCGAGCGUUGUCCGGAAUUAUUGGGCGUAAAGGGCUCGUAGGCGGUCUGUCGCGUCUGCUGUGAAAACUCGGGGCUUAACCCUGAGCUUGCAGUGGGUACGGGCAGACUAGAGUGCGGUAGGGGAGACUGGAAUUCCUGGUGUAGCGGUGAAAUGCGCAGAUAUCAGGAGGAACACCGGUGGCGAAGGCGGGUCUCUGGGCCGUAACUGACGCUGAGGAGCGAAAGCAUGGGGAGCGAACAGG